GAUGAACGCUAGCUAUAGGCUUAACACAUGCAAGUCGAGGGACCGGCGCACGGGUGAGUAACGCGUAUCCAACCUGCCUAUAACUAAGGGAUAACCCAGAGAAAGUUGGACUAAUACCUUAUGGUUAUGGAUGGGGAUGCGUCGUAUUAGCUUGUUGGCGGGGUAACGGCCCCCCAAGGCAACGAUCAGUAGGGGUUCGGAGAGGUAGUUCCCCCACAUUUGAACUGUGACCCGGUCCAAACUCGUACGGGAGGCAGCAGUGAGGCAUAUUUGUCAAUUGACGCGAGUCUGAACCAGCCAAGUAGCGUGCAGGAUGUCGGCCUAUGUGUUGUAGCCUGCUGUUAUAAGAGGAUAGGUACCAUAUUAAUAAGUACCGGCUAAUUCCGUGCCAGCAGCCGCGGUAAUAC
RNAcentral lists this ribosomal RNA (407 nucleotides) under uncultured bacterium. RNAcentral's name for it is "partial 16S ribosomal RNA". It matches the Rfam family "Bacterial small subunit ribosomal RNA", at positions 28 to 526 of the family's 1533-position model. The record is from RNAcentral.